CUAAAUUGCAAAUUUAGAGAGGCACCUAUAAAGGGUGCCGGGGCUUCUCCCGUUU
Molecule: transfer RNA, 55 nt
Filed under: Hemitheconyx caudicinctus (African fat-tailed gecko)
Lineage: Eukaryota; Metazoa; Chordata; Lepidosauria; Squamata; Eublepharidae
Description: partial tRNA-Cys
Source: RNAcentral